RNAcentral lists this transfer RNA (68 nucleotides) under chicken gut metagenome. It matches the Rfam family "tRNA". From Rfam's summary of the family: Transfer RNA (tRNA) molecules are approximately 80 nucleotides in length. Their secondary structure includes four short double-helical elements and three loops (D, anti-codon, and T loops). Further hydrogen bonds mediate the characteristic L-shaped molecular structure. tRNAs have two regions of fundamental functional importance: the anti-codon, which is responsible for specific mRNA codon recognition, and the 3' end, to which the tRNAs corresponding amino acid is attached (by aminoacyl-tRNA synthetases). tRNAs cope with the degeneracy of the genetic code in two manners: having more than one tRNA (with a specific anti-codon) for a particular amino acid; and 'wobble' base-pairing, i.e. permitting non-standard base-pairing at the 3rd anti-codon position. RNAcentral also lists the same sequence under 1 other name. The record is from RNAcentral.
UUCGUAGCUCAGUCGGUAGAGCAAAGGACUGAAAAUCCUUGUGUCACAGGUUCGAUUCCUGUCGGAGC